Molecule: ribosomal RNA, 497 nt
Filed under: uncultured bacterium
Lineage: Bacteria
Description: partial 16S ribosomal RNA
Rfam family: Bacterial small subunit ribosomal RNA
Source: RNAcentral
GAUGAACGCUGGCGGCGUGCCUAAUACAUGCCAGUCGAGCGAACAGACGAGGAGCUUGCUCCUCUGACGUUAGCGGCGGACGGGUGAGUAACACGUGGAUAACCUACCUAUAAGACUGGGAUAACUUCGGGAAACCGGAGCUAAUACCGGGUAAUAUAUUGAACCGCAUGGUUCAAUAGUGAAAGACGGUUUUGCUGUCACUUAUAGAUGGAUCCGCGCCGCAUUAGCUAGUUGGUAAGGUAACGGCUUACCAAGGCAACGAUGCGUAGCCGACCUGAGAGGGUGACCGGCCACACUGGAACUGAGACACGGUCCAGACUCCUACGGGAGGCAGCAGUAGGGAAUCUUCCGCAAUGGGCGAAAGCCUGACGGAGCAACGCCGCGUGAGUGAUGAAGGUCUUCGGAUCGUAAAACUCUGUUAUUAGGGAAGAACAAAUGUGUAAGUAACUAUGCACGUCUUGACGGUACCUAAUCAGAAAGCCACGGCUAACUACGUG